This 375-nucleotide ribosomal RNA is filed under the name uncultured bacterium. RNAcentral's name for it is "bacterial SSU rRNA". It matches the Rfam family "Bacterial small subunit ribosomal RNA", at positions 521 to 895 of the family's 1533-position model. The record is from RNAcentral.
UAAUACGAAGGGGGCUAGCGUUGCUCGGAUUGACUGGGCGUAAAGGGCGCGUAGGCGGUUCGUACAGUCAGACGUGAAAUUCCUGGGCUCAACCUGGGGGCUGCGUUUGAUACGUGCGGACUUGAGUGCGGAAGAGGGUCGUGGAAUUCCCAGUGUAGAGGUGAAAUUCGUAGAUAUUGGGAAGAACACCGGUGGCGAAGGCGGCGACCUGGUCCGAUACUGACGCUGAGGCGCGAAAGCGUGGGGAGCAAACAGGAUUAGAUACCCUGGUAGUCCACGCCGUAAACGAUGUGCGCUGGAUGUUGGGUGACAUAGUCACUCAGUGUCGUAGCAAACGCGAUAAGCGCACCGCCUGGGGAGUACGGCCGCAAGGUU